This 5697-nucleotide long non-coding RNA is filed under the name Homo sapiens (human). RNAcentral describes it as "HSALNT0243832". The record is from RNAcentral. Lineage: Eukaryota; Metazoa; Chordata; Mammalia; Primates; Hominidae.
UGGGGUUUGUAUGUCUGUUUUAAUCAGUUUUAUUAAGAUACAAUUUACAUACAAUAAAUUUACCUCUUUUAAAUGUACAAAUUGAUGAGUAUUGACAAAUGUAUAACCAUCUCCACAAAGGCAAUGUAGAAAAUUUUCAUCACCCCUUAAAGUCCUUUUACACUUUUUUUUGAGACUGCCUCAGUAGUAACCACUGCUAAAUUUAUCAGAGAACUGCACACCUGGAUUGUAUUUUGACAGAACUUCCUUCCAACCCAAUUGCUUUUAAUAAUUUUUUUAUGAUAAAUUUUUACCCAAAAUGUUAUAGAAUUUAUUUACAAAGAAAUUUCGUAAGUUGUAUUUCUCCUACUGGUGUGGUAUUAUGCUAAGGAAACAGGUCUGGAGUCAUGAAAUCCUUAGGUGUCUAAUUUUUCUAACCUGUAAGUUUCUGUGCUACUGCAGAUCUCAGUUACUGUCUCUGGUGGUGGGUGUGUGCUGCGGAAGAGUCAGAGGUAAGGCACUAGUCCAUUUCCUUCCAGGACAGUUGAGAAAGAAGGAAAUGAACUCCAGUCAUCACAAAUCCACUGUUGAUGAUUCCUCUGGCCAGGUCUCCCCUUUAAAUCCUUAGGGAGAAGCAACACUGAGAAAAGAUAACUUCUUCUUUUUUUUUUUUUUUUGAGACGGAGCCUUCCUCUGUCGCCCAGGCUGGAGUGCAGUGGCGCGAUCUGGGCUCACUGCAAGCUCCGCCUCCCGGGUUCACACAAUUCUUCUGCCUCAGCCUCCCGAGUAGCUGGGACUACAGGUGCCCGCCACCUCGCCCGGCCAAUGUUUUUGAAUUUUUUAGUAGAGACGGGGUUUCAUCGUGUUAGCCAGGAUGGUCUUGAUCUCCUGACCUUGUGAUCCACCCGCCUCGGCCUCCCAAAGUGCUGGGAUUACAGGCGUGAGCCACCACGCCCGGCCAAAAGACAACUUCUUUAGUUGUAAUCCCCCAUCCCUGAGAGUAGAAGAGGCAGAAGGCCAAAAAGUCGACCACACAUGUUUGCAGCUCCUCAUCCCAGCAAGAUUUCUGUGCUGCCCUGGUGUUACCCUGCAGAUGCCACCUUUUCCCAGUUUUCUACUGGAUUAUUGGUCUUUCUCUUAAUGAUUUGUAAAAGCUCAUAAUAUUAUGAAACUUCAUACAAUAUCUGAGACCUGGGCUCAAAAUACAGUCAUGCUUCACCUAACAGUGGAGGUCACUGUUUGAACAGCAUAGAGUGUACUCACACAAACCUAGAUGGCAUAGCCUGCUACACGCCUAGGGUGUGUGGGAUAGUCUAUUCUUCCUAGGGAUAAACCUGUACAGCAUGCUACUGAACACUAGGCAAUUGUAGCACAAUGGUAAGUAUUUGUGUAUCUAAAUGUGUCUAAACAUAGAAAAGGUACAGUAAAAACACGGUAUUAUAGUUUUUUGGGACCCCAUUUUAUAUUUGGUCCAUGAAUGACUGAAAUGUUAUUAUGCAACACAUCAUGGUGUUUUCUCCCUAGUUAUUCUUUUUUUUUUUUUUUUUUUUUUUUUUUUUUUUGAGAUGGAGUCUUGCUCUGUCGCCCAGGCUGGAAUGCAGUGGCGCGAUCUUGGCUCACUGCAACCUCCACCUCCCAGGUUCAAGCAAUUCUCAUGCCUCAGCCUCCCCAGUAGCAGGGACUACAGGUAUGUGCCACCACACCAACUAAUUUUUGUAUUUUUAGUAGAGACGGGGUUUCACCGUGUUGGACAGGCUGGUCUCAAACUCCCAACCUCAGGUGAUCCACCUGCCCCAUGGGAUUACAGACGUGAGCCACUGCGCCCGGCCCCUAGUUAUUCUUUGGAUUUAGUUUAUGAUUUCUAAAUGUAAUUUUUAAAUGUUUCAUCUAAUUAAAUGAUUUAUCUAAUUAAAUUUAACAAUCCUUUAUGUUUUCUGGGUUGUGAGUCAUACCUAUAAAAGUCCUCCCCACUUCAAGAUUAUUUUUAAAUAACAUAAAAUUUUUUACCAUUUUAACCAAUUUUAGGUGUGUAAUUCAAUGGUAUUAAAAACAUUCAUUCAUAUUGCCGGGCGCAAUAGCUCAUGCCUGUAAUCCCAGCACUUUGGGAGGCCAAGGCAGGCCAAUCAUUUGAGGUCAGGAGUUUGAGACCAGCCUGGCCAACAUGGUGAAACCUCAUCUUUACUAAAAAUACAAAAAUUAGCUGGGCAUGGUGGUGGGUGCCUGUAAUCCCAGCUACUUGGGAGGCUGAGGCACAAGAAUCGCUUGAACCCGGGAGGCAGAGGUUGCAGUGAGCCGAAAUCGUGCCCCUGCACUCCAGCCUGGGCAACAGAGAGAGACUCUGUCUCAAAAAACAACAACAACAAAACUCAUAUUAUUGUGCAACCAUCACCACCUUCCAUCUUUUUUCCAGAACUUUUUUGUCUUUCCAAACUGAAACGCUGUAUCUGUUAGCCAGUCACUCCUCGUUGUCCCCUGCCCCCAUCCCCCAGGAACCACCAUUCUAUUUGCUUCACUACAUUUUGCUUGUCUUCUUUAAGAUCCAUCCUUGUCUCCCCUAUAGCUUAAUAACCAGGGUCGGGUCUCAGUAGAGCCUGACAGGGUAAAGGCAGUUCCUGAUGUGAGUGGCAAUUGCUGAGCCACACAAAGACUGCAGCAUCUGCGGACGCACUCUUCCAGGAGCCAGAGGAGCCCACAGCAGCGUGGGUCUGAGCGUGCUGAGGUGGUGAGCGUGGAUAUAAGACUAGAUCAGGAAAUGGAGGGCCAGGCGAGGUGGCUCACGCCUGUAAUCCCAGCACUUUGGGAGUCCGAGGUGGGCGGAUCACUUGAGGUCAGGAGUUGAAGACCAGCCUGGCCAACAUGGCAAAACCCUGUCUCUACUACAAAAUACAAAAAUUAGCCGGGCAUGGUGGCACACGCCUAUAAUGCCAGCUACUUGAGAGGCUGAGGCAGGAGAAUCGCUUUAAUCCGGGAGGCGGAGGUUGCAGUGAGCCAAGGUCGUACCAUGGCACUCCAACCUGGGCGACAGAGCCAGACUCCGUCUCCAAAACAAAGGAAAUGGAGGUUUAGUGUCAUGUCAAGGACACCUGGAACUGGCCCUAAACAUGCAUGAUGGGUCUCCUUGAAGCUUGGAUCCCACAGGACUCUACAGCUGAGUGGUCCAAUACAGGAUCCACAGCAAACCAGAGGCAAUGCUACAUUCUGAGGGAAAUAGGGUAGUUGUACUUGUUAAAAUGAUAGGAUUUUGGAUAUGCUGGGUUAAAUAAAAUAUAUUAUUCCAAUUCAUUUCACCUGUUUCUCUUCUUUUCUCUCUUUCCUUCCUUCCUUCCUUUUCCUUUUUCUUUUCUUUUCUUCUUUUCUCUUUUCUUUUCUUAACACAGGGUCUCACUCUGUUGCCCAGGCUGGAGUGCUGUGGUGCGAUCUUGGCUCACUGCAACCUCUGCCUACCAGAUUUAAGCGAUUCUCAUGCCUCAGCCUCCUAAGUAGAUGGAAUUACAAGUGCCCGCCACUGUGCCCAGCUAAUUUUUUUGUAUUUUUAGUACAGACGGGGUUUCACCAUGUUGGCCAAGCUGGUCUUGAACUCCUGACCUGAAGUGAUCCACCCACCUUGGCCUCCCAAAGUGCUGGGAUUAUAGGCGUGAGCCACCGUGCCCGGCCAUCUUUUCAUUUUUUUAUUGUGUCUACUAGAAAGAGUGACAAGUGCCCAUGUGGCUGACAUUAUAUUUCUAUUGGACAGUGCUGACCAGUGGAAAAGAUCAUGGAGAUGCCAGACAGGUGUGAGCAGAAUAUUGAAGAGUCAGAAGGCUCAGAGAAGGAUGCAUGUUCGGAUGAAUUUAUUCUUGGAGACCCUUUAUUUACUAAAGCGAUUCAGGGCCGGGCACGGUGGCUCAGGCUUGUAGUUCCAGCACUUUGGGAGGCCGAGGCAGGCAGAUCAUCUGAGGUCAGGAGUUCAAGACCAGCCUGGCCACCAUAGUGAAACCCCAUCUCUACUAAAAAUACAAAAAUUAGCUGGGCGUGGUAGCGGGCACCUGUAAUCCCAGCUACUCGGGAGGUCGAGGCAUGAGAAUCGCUUGAACUGGGAAGAUGGAGAUUGAAGUGAGCCAAGAUCGCGCUACUGAACUCCAGCCUGGGCAACAGAGUGAGACUCCAUCUCAAAAAAAAAAAGAGAGAGACAAGAGAGAAUAUAAAAGGCCACGUGAAGACAGAGGCAGAAGUUGAAGGGAGGCAACCACAAGCAAUGUCUGGAGCCCCAGAAGCUGGAAGAGGCAAGGAGGGUCCUCCCCACAACUUUUGGAGGGAGCAUGGCUCUACAGAAAUGGUUGCUCUAAGCCACCAACUUGUGGUCAUUUGUGGCAGCAGCCCUAGGGGACUAAAACAUUCUCCCUCCCCCACAACUCAACUCUGUGGGCUCUCUCCCUGGCAGCACAUCAAGGCACACCUUUGGCAUUAGCUAAAUCUGGAGGGCUAGCUAAAUCAUGAACAUCAAUGAAUAUCAAUAUCUUUUUUUUUUUUUUUUUUUUUUUUGAGAUGAAGUCUUGCUCUUGUCGCCCAGGCUGUAGUGCAGUGGCACGAUCUUGGCUCACUGCAACCUCUGCCUCCCGGGCUCAAGUGAUUCUCCUGCCUCAGCCUCCCGAGUAGCUGGGACUACACACACACACCACCACACCUGGCUAAUUUUUGUAUUUUUAGUAGAGAUGGGGUUUUUGCCAUGUUGGCCAGGCUGGUCUCGAACUCCUGACCUCAAGUAAUCCACCUGCCUCAGCCUCAAGUUUGCUUUUUGUUCAUGGAAAUCAGCUUCAUAAAAAGCAUCUUACCCUGAGAUGUAGUUUGUUUCUGUAAAUUUCAGAAGUUGAGUUCAGAAUAGACAUAUCCAGAUUUAUAAGAAUCACAGGCUUCUGAAAUAUAAAAGGGAAAAUAAUUUACUUAGGAUAUGUGACCAGCAAGGCUGUUUUUAAAAAUCCUAUUUCUAGUAGCUGGGUGGCCUGACAGAACCAGGUAUUAACUAAUUUUUUCCUGGACUGUGUUAAAUAAUUUAUUCUUGAAAAUGUUAGCUGGGCAUAAUGCCUCAUGCCUGUAAUCCCAACACUUUGGGAGGCCGAGGCAGGAAGAUUGGUUGAGCCCAGGAGUUCAAGACCAGCUUGGGCAAUAUAGCAAGAUACUUGUCUCUAUCCAAAAAAAAAAAAAAAAUUAGUCAGACAUGGUGGUGCACACCUGUAGUCCCAGCUACUCAGGAGGCUAAGGUGGGACGACUGCUUCAGCCCAAGAGGUAGAGGGUGCAGUGAGCUGAGAUUGUGCCACUGCACUCUAGCCUGGGCAACAGAGUGAGAGUCUCAAAAAAAAGGAGAAAGGCAGGAAAGAAAGAAAAGAAAGAGAAAAAGAAAGAGAGAGAGAGAGAAAGAAAAGAAAGAAAGAAGAAAGAAAGAAAGAAAGAAAGAGAAAGAAAGAAAAAGAAAAAAUAAAGAGAGACAGAAAGAGAAAGAAAGAAAGAGAGAGAGGGAGGGAGGGAGAGAGGGAAGGAAGGAAGGAAGGAAAUGUUUGAGUAGUGAUCCUGUAUCCUCCUCUCUGGGUUUUUUUUCUAUGACAUUCCCCCACCACAUCUUUCCCUCUUCCUCACCCUCCAUCUCCUGAUGAGAUUUUUUUAGGAGCUGGGGUGCUGGUUGCCAUUGGUUCCUUGCAGUGUGCCUGCAUUGCUCCCAUCCACCCCAUUAACGGGCUCCUGAA